Molecule: ribosomal RNA, 508 nt
Filed under: uncultured bacterium
Lineage: Bacteria
Description: partial 16S ribosomal RNA
Rfam family: Bacterial small subunit ribosomal RNA
Source: RNAcentral
AUUGAACGCUGGCGGCAUGCCUUGCACAUGCAAGUCGAACGGCAGCGGGGGAGAAGCUUGCUUUUCCUGCCGGCGAGUGGCGAACGGGUGAGUAAUACAUCGGAACGUGCCCUGUAGUGGGGGAUAACUAGUCGAAAGAUUAGCUAAUACCGCAUACGACCUGAGGGUGAAAGUGGGGGACCGCAAGGCCUCAUGCUAUAGGAGCGGCCGAUGUCUGAUUAGCUAGUUGGUGGGGUAAAGGCCUACCAAGGCGACGAUCAGUAGCUGGUCUGAGAGGGCGAUCAGCCACACUGGGACUGAGACACGGCCCAGACUCCUACGGGAGGCAGCAGUGGGGAAUUUUGGACAAUGGGCGAAAGCCUGAUCCAGCAAUGCCGCGUGUGUGAAGAAGGCCUUCGGGUUGUAAAGCACUUUUGUCCGGAAAGAAAUGGCUCUGGUUAAUACCUGGGGUCGAUGACGGUACCGGAAGAAUAAGGACCGGCUAACUACGUGCCAGCCGCCGCGGUAA